Chiloscyllium plagiosum (whitespotted bambooshark) is the source of this 1666-nucleotide non-coding RNA. The record is from RefSeq and is a predicted model, not a curated record. NCBI's taxonomy places the organism in Eukaryota, Metazoa, Chordata, Chondrichthyes, Orectolobiformes, Hemiscylliidae.
UUGGUGCAAAGGGAAGGGGUGUUUACUGCUUGCUUUUUCUGUUCGUGGUUUUUAAGGGCUUUUUAAUUGGAUGAAUUGAAGACCAGCAUCAGGGGCCAAGCAUAAAACAAAGUGAUGUCACAGGAAAACCAGGUACUAACAGGUGCAUUGAGGAGACUUCAGGAGGCCUAAACUUUGAGAAAGGAACAUCAGUGAAAAGCAGCAACAGGAGCUGGGAACGGAGGAAUAAUGGGCCAACCAGAACGCUCCCUCAAGCACACGCACGGCAGGAGAUCUGGGAUUGAUACUGUCAACAGCCUGCACACAAAAUAUUGCUUUCUGAAUACUUCCAACUCUUUGAAAAACUUAAGAGCAUGAGGAACUCCCUGUGAUGUACGCUAGUUACUGCAGAGAACUUCAGUAAAACUGUGUGUAUCCCCGUUCAAGUAUACUACUGGAUUUUUGUUGCCAUUUAUAGUAGAGCUGUCCUUUAUAGACCUAAGCAUGGAAGUGUUCUAAUUAACAUGAUGGAACUCCGAGUCUUCGAAGUGUGAGGGUCUGUUUUGUCUGAUUUCACUGAAUUAGUUGCAUCGUUCUCAAUGGAUGAAAUCUUACUCUUGUGUUGAGGGUUCUUGCAAGAACAUGGGCCACACAUGUAUCUGUGCAAGUGGCUGACUGUGCACAAUCACAUGGUGCCCAGUCAAUUAGUUAGCAAAGACAAGGGCAUUGGCAUGGUGGGCAAGUGCAGGAAUUUGCUGACCCUAACAUUAUCUCCUGGGGUCAGGCUGCAUUUCGGUAGGUAUCCCCUUCCUAUCAUCCUAUAGCAAUUGUUACUUGUUAGUUGUGUGUAAUCCUCAAGAGUGCUGUUGCCCUCCCUGCUCACCUUUGCAUCUGUCACUGCCUGGAUCCCAAAAAGAUCUGUGAACCUCACAAUGUUUAUUCACCAUUACUUGCUAUGUCCCAGAAAAGACAGCGAGUGCUCCCCAAGGUUCAACAAUGCUUUUCAAGGAAGGUACAGUCUGCCAAAUCCCGGGAAGAGAGAUUUGCCAUACAAGGAGAACUGGUGUUGACUAGCCAUGUAUUCACUAGGCAAAUAACCCAAAUGUCUUCUUUAACCACCUUGUACAUCUCUCCAGUUGUCUUCAAGAAUCUGUAAGAAUAAGCUCCAAGGACUCUUUGAUCUUCAAUAUCCCCUAAGUUCCUACCAUUCAUGGUGUACUUCCUUUUCUUGUUAGUCCUCCCAAAACGUAUCACCUCAUACUUUUGUGGCCAACAGUGUAAGCAACUGGGCCCAACAUAAAAUUGAAAGCAUGGCCUAACGAAUGCAAAGAGGCCAAAAGCCAACAAUGAUCAGCUCAGAUCUACAUUGCGUUUGAACAAUGGGAGAGUCAUGAUGAUCUGAAACCCAUGAAGAGGUACUCAGCCAGAACAAAAGGGAGAUACAUUGUGUUUGUGUACAGAGGAACUUCGAUUUUCUGAAUCGCACAGGCGGGGAGUAUUUUGUUCGGAUAAUCGAGGGUCCUCUGCAUUUCCUGGUUUUGACCAGACCCCUUGGCAUCAUGGAGUAAUCAUGUCUUGUAAAGGGGAUGGGUAAACCAACAAUGACCUGACCUAACUUCAUUGGACACUGUGACCCUGCCCGAGCUAAAGUCAGAGUACAUUCUAGAAGGGCUGAGAAAAGGGGAGA